AAGUCAUAUAAAUUUGCUGUUAGCAGCCAGUUUUGUUAAAUUUUGUAAAAAUGAGCUAAAAAAAAUCCUGAUGUUUGAUUGUCUUCCAAUUCAAUCUUAUUUUGUCCUGCAACAUUCAGUUCACCCAUAGUAGCUUAGGGUUGCUCAGCUUAGUCAGAUAUUAAAAAAAAGAAGGAUAUGUUAAAGUACAAAAACAAAGAAAAUUGGAGCCACCACAAAGAACACUUGCUGACAGAUUUUGCACACAAAAAUCUUUCUUUCACAGGUAAAACUCAAAUGUGUAUGCUUCCUCUUUUGACUAGCUUGAGUGCAGUUAUUUGAAAGUAUAAAUCUUAUGUUGAAAUUUGACAGCAGUAACAUUCAUUUGCCAAAAUUUAUUUCAUUUUUUAUUUCAAAAAUAAGGAAUAAAAAGAUGUGGUAUGAGUUACAAUAAGACAACUCUCAAUCUAAGUCACAAUGUAUAAAAUGUUAAACAAUUAUAGGCCAAAGAACAGCCUUCAACACGUAGCCUUGGCACACAACAAACAACAAGCUAUAAAAGAUCCCAAAAUGACUAGUGUAAAACAAUUAUAACAGGAAAACCAACAGUCUAAUCUAUUUAAAAAAAAAAACACCAACAAACAGCAACCACUCAACAACAGGUUUCUGAAUUAGAACAGGUUCAUGAAAUGCAAAUACAAAUAUUGAGAUAUUAUCAAAAAAGGUUUAAAAGUAACUUCAAAGAAUAAAAAAUAAGGAUGGUUGAUCCAUUUUACGUUUUUGUUUGUGUAAUGUUGUAUAAAUGUUAAUAUUUUAUUUCAGUGUUCUUCCACAGAUGAUAAUGUAUAAUUUUGAUUUUUGCAGAUUGCAGCAGGGGGAUGUUACAGUCAUAGACGUUGGAUAGACUCCGUUGUACUAGGCCAGGGAGGGUAGCGCAAAGUUUCCGCAGCACUAUACAAUAGUAACAAGAUCACUCUACCAUGAGCUUGUUAAAGGGCCCGUUUGAUGAAAGUGACACCAACAUUCUCCAACACUACAGAUUUAUUUUUUCAGAUGCAGCCAGGAGGAUGUUUCAGUCAUGGACCCGUUUGAUAGAAGUGACGCCAACGUUCUCCAACACUACUAAUUUUUAAAUUUGUAUUUAUUGCAGAUGCAGCUGAGGGUAUUUCAAUCAUAGACUUUAAAUAUGACUCAAUUGUAGCAGACCAGGAGGAGUGGCAAAUAGAUUUCUGGGAGUCUAUAUUUUUUAAGGAAGAGACAAAAUUUUCUCCAACAAACCACUAAUCUUUAUUAUUUAUAUCCAUUUCAGAGUUCUCACAAAGAUGUAUAGGUAUACAGUAUUUAUUAAUUCUGACUCUUUUUGCAUUUUUGUUUGUCUUUAAAAAAUGUCAUGUGGUAUUAAUGUCAAUGGGAUAAAACACACUGAAGAAAUCAACUACAUUGGAACAGAAAUCUUUUGAUUGAGAAAUCAUUGGUACUUGGUGUAAUUUGAAACUAAACUCCUUGGAACUUUCUCACAAAAUUUUACACAUGAAACAUCUUUUUUUCCAUCUUUUUUUUCCAUGAAGCAGCACACAAAAUUUUAUCAAGUAGAUGGUAUCCAUAUCCUAGAACAUCUGUGAAUGGCUUAUUUCUAAUAGUACUUCCACAAGUAUCCUCAAAAUUCAAACAGUCAAGUAUAAUGAUCAACAGAGACAUAAAAAUGAAGGAAACUAAGUAUUUAACUAAUUAAACAACGGGUUAAAAAGGACAACACAUAACCAAAAGAAAUAGUGUACAAAAAACUACACUGAAAACAAAAUUGUACAUCACCAACCAAAGACCAAGAACGGUCUUAAGACACUAAGCACCAACUCAACCAAAGACUAGGGAUGAUCUCAGCCAACGAGACCAACCCAACCAAAAACCAUGGAUGAUCUCAGCCAAUGAGCACCAACCCAACCAAAAAAACAGGGAUGAUCUCAGCCAAUGAGCAUGAAACCAAUGACAGGGUGUUCACCAGCCCCUCAGAAUAUGUUUCUUGUACUACAAAACUUCACAGAAAGAUUCCACACAAGUUAAAGCUGUGUACCUACUAGUAUCCAUAUUGCUAGAGGAAAUUACCCCCAUUUUCCCAAAAAAUUUUAAAUAAUAUUUUUUAUCAAAAUUUUCAAAGACAGUACAAUUUUACCAAUUUUGUGUAAAUAAUCUAGAUCUUUGAAAAUUCACACAACAUUACUUGUUACUGUGGAAUGGUAUGCUAAUUUUUUCCCACUUUUCAGUACUUGGGAACUUGAUAAUUUUUUCAUCUAAAAAUUUCAAUAGAACGUAACAAUUUUUGUUUUUAACCCUUAUCUUUGGAACUUCAGAGAGAGUUUGUCAAUCUAUUGAGGUUGAUCAUCAUUUCCCAUUUUUAUAUUUCCAUAUAUUAAAAUUCUAGAAUUGACCAUUCUACAUUGUUUAGGAAAAAUUUGCAAAACUCAGCUAUUUGAGACUUUGAUAUUUUUUUUGGAAUAUACACGACUACUUUGUGCAUGAUAAGUAAACUAUACAAGAAGAGAUAUUUUAUUAAACUAUGCUUCAAAAUAUAAAAAAAAACGUUGGUGAUUUAUGUGUUUUCGACAAUUACUUUACUGUUCUUCUUCAUUACAUUUGUAUAAGUAUUUAUAUAUCAGAUGUCUGCUAACUCUAUAUUAGAGCUUUGUAAAAAAAAAUAUGUAAACAAAGUUCUAAAUAAUAAUUUUAAUGGGAAAGCGAAAAUCGUGGGGUACCAUAAAUAUUUGGUAAAUUUUCAAAAUGCAAGUUACUUGUUUAAAAGCACAUCUGGUAUUUUAUAUCCUUUUAUGAAUGAAUUUAAUAAUUUAUUUGUAUUAUACUAGUAUAUGAGAAAAGCUUUGAACGAAAAAAGAAAAUGAGAGAUGCUUUAGAACAUUUUAGUGACAAUUGUAUAUUUUAUUAAAUCGAACACAAAGGACAUUUCAAUUAGUGGAUAAAAUGGAUUCAGUCAGCUGAUCAGAACCAAAACCUAUGUUGAAAAGCAGAUAAAAGCAGCCAAGUUAGCAGCUCCCAGGAAGAUGGUUAAAUAAAUCUUCAACCAAGUCUGAGGCUUUACCAAGAAAAUAAUAAGGUUGUUUCUUUGAAAUGUUUUCAUGGUGUGGGAAUAAGACUUGGUGGUCUGAUACAGCUUAUAUGUAGGUUAGCAUCAUGCUUAUCCGUAAGGAUUGAGGCUGAGAAUGGCCAUUGGAGCUGACUUUUAUGGUAACGUUAACUGUGGCUGCAUAAGUUAUUGUGCGAUAAAACUGAAGCAGAAAAGAAUGUACUGGUAGUUCAGACAAUUUUGUAUAUGUUUGAAAAAAUGUUUUAAUUUUUACAAAAAAAAAAAAAUUAUGUAAAGAUUCUCCAUUUACAGCAUGUUUUAAGUUUUAAGCUAACUUUAUUGUUCAGAUACCAUUCAUUAUCUCCCCAUAAUUAAAUUUAAUUGAUAAUUAAUACUUUGAAAAAGAAUGGGAAAAGAACAAUUUUACAUUUUUACUUGUCGACCUACUUUAGAUAUCUGUAUAAUGGUCUAUGUAUAGUCAAAAUAUUUCCAGUAGGUUUAGAAUGGAGAAUCUAAAAAAAAAAAUGAAAAAAAAAUAAAUGUUUUAUUGAAAUGUAUUUUUGGGGUUUUCUGAAUGGUUAGAUAUAAAUUAUUGUCCAACUUCAAUUGUUUUUCGAAAAAAGAUUAUUACACAAGAAGCAUAGUAAAAAAAUAUCUUGAUGAAAAAGGUUGAUUGAUUUUUUUACGCUAAAAACCAUAUGUUGGUGGCAAUUUUUUAUAGGCUGAGAAGGUCUGAGUAAUAGGAGAGAAUCACCAAGGCACCUAAGAAAAAUGCAUAAAAUUAGUGUUCAAUAAAAACUGAUAUAUUAAAGAAUGUAAAUCAGACAAUUUAUUGUGUAUUUUUGAAGAAGAAAAAGUGUAAAGAUUCUCUAUUUUCAACCAGAUUGGAAGUUGUAGGCUACCUUGAUAGUUCCAAUCCUGUUAAUGAUUAAUCUGCCCUGUUAAUUAGAUUUAAUUGAUAUUUUAUUAUGGAAAGGAAAUAAACAAAUUUUACAAUUUUAUUUGAAGACCUGCUUAAGAACUCUUUAUAAUGGUUCAUGUGUAGUCAAAACAUUUUCAGUAGGUUAAGAAUGGAGAAUCUAAAAAAAAAAAAAAAAAGAAAGA
Long non-coding RNA from Mytilus trossulus (common blue mussel), 4159 nucleotides. RefSeq lists it as uncharacterized. The record is from RefSeq and is a predicted model, not a curated record. The transcript has 5 exons. Lineage: Eukaryota; Metazoa; Mollusca; Bivalvia; Mytilida; Mytilidae.